This 253-nucleotide ribosomal RNA is filed under the name uncultured bacterium. Its description in RNAcentral is "partial 16S ribosomal RNA". It matches the Rfam family "Bacterial small subunit ribosomal RNA", at positions 524 to 776 of the family's 1533-position model. The record is from RNAcentral.
UACGAAGGGGGCUAGCGUUGCUCGGAAUCACUGGGCGUAAAGCGCACGUAGGCGGAUCUUUAAGUCAGGGGUGAAAUCCUGGAGCUCAACUCCAGAACUGCCUUUGAUACUGGGGAUCUCGAGUCCGGAAGAGGUGAGUGGAACUCCGAGUGUAGAGGUGAAAUUCGUAGAUAUUCGGAAGCACACCAGUGGCGAAGGCGGCUCACUGGUCCGGUACUGACGCUGAGACGCGAAAGCGUGGGGAGCGAACAGG